CCAGGCCUUUCAACUCGGAAAUAUCGUUUUCUAAGUGCUGCCAGCUGCUUCUUCACACCAGUAAAUUUAAGUUCUUGGAUCUCCCAGCUUCCAGUCAUAAUUUUACCAGGACCAUUCCCGACGGCUGAGAGAAUCCUGGCUGGUUGUUGUCCUCCCUUUUCUCAAUAAUUUUUCCAAGUUCAUCCUGAUUUAUGUUAGUCAAUAAUACAUUUAUGGUCAAUUGACCUUCCUGUGACAUAUCUGUAAUUCCCAAUAGUAUGCCUUCUAAUACUGAAUUAACCGGGUGUUUAAAUUGUCCUGUUUCCAUUAAAGUCAUAUGUAUUUAA
This is a long non-coding RNA of Carassius auratus (goldfish), 326 nucleotides long. RefSeq lists it as uncharacterized. The transcript has 2 exons. NCBI's taxonomy places the organism in Eukaryota, Metazoa, Chordata, Actinopteri, Cypriniformes, Cyprinidae. The record is from RefSeq and is a predicted model, not a curated record.